Molecule: ribosomal RNA, 393 nt
Filed under: uncultured bacterium
Lineage: Bacteria
Description: partial 16S ribosomal RNA
Rfam family: Bacterial small subunit ribosomal RNA
Source: RNAcentral
AUACGGAGGAUCCGAGCGUUAUCCGGAUUUAUUGGGUUUAAAGGGUGCGCAGGCGGGGGAUUAAGUCGGCGGGGAAAUUUUUCCGAUCAACUGUAAAAGUGCCUUUGAAACUGGGUUCCUUGAGUGUAGAUGAAGGAGGGGGAAUUUUUGGGGUGGCGGGGAAAUGCAUAGAUAUCACGAGGAACUCCGAUUGCGCAGGCAGCUUACUAAACUACUACUGACGCUCAGGCACGAAGGCGUGGGGAUCAAACAGGAUUGGAUACCCUGGUAGUCCACGCAGUAAACGAUGAUUACUAGCUGUUUGCGAUACAAUGUAAGCGGCUGAGCGAAAGCGUUAAGUAAUCCACCUGGGGAGUACGUUCGCAAGAAUGAAACUCAAAUGAAUUGGCGGGG